GCCGGGUGUGGUGGUGCACACCUGUCAUCCCAGCUACUCGGGAGGCUGAGGCAGGAGAAUUGCUUGAACCCAGGAGGCGGAGGUUGCAGUGAGCCGGGAUCGCACCACUGCAUUCCAGCCUGGGUAACAGAGUGAGACUCUGUCUCAA
RNAcentral lists this small RNA (148 nucleotides) under Papio anubis (olive baboon). RNAcentral's name for it is "Metazoan signal recognition particle RNA (ENSPANG00000038442.1)". The record is from Rfam by way of RNAcentral. Lineage: Eukaryota; Metazoa; Chordata; Mammalia; Primates; Cercopithecidae.